Molecule: ribosomal RNA, 261 nt
Filed under: uncultured Glomus
Lineage: Eukaryota; Fungi; Glomeromycota; Glomeromycetes; Glomerales; Glomeraceae
Description: partial 18S ribosomal RNA
Rfam family: Eukaryotic small subunit ribosomal RNA
Source: RNAcentral
AAGCUCGUAGUUGAAUUUCGGGGGUUAGUAGGUUGGUCAUGCCUCUGGUAUGUACUGGUCUCACUGAUUCCUCCUUCCUUAUGAACCGUAAUGCCAUUAAUUUGGUGUUGCGGGGAAUUUGGACUGUUACUUUGAAAAAAAUUAGAGUGUUUAAAGCAAGCUAACGCUUGAAUACAUUAGCAUGGAAUAAUGAAAUAGGACGUUCGAUCUUAUUUUGUUUGGUUUCUAGGAUUGACGUAAUGAUUAAUAGGGAUAGUUGGG